AUGAACUUGUCAUGGUGCUCCUUGCUUCUGCUGGUCGUUUUUGCAGCAGAGUUGGCACUGGCCGCGGUUGUUGAUGAUGCGGUACAAUUUGAUCCCAAAGACAUUAAGAUGACCAUAAAGAGCAGAAAUGGGGAAAUAAUUGACUGUGUUGACAUCUACAAGCAACCGAGCCUGAAUAACCCCUUGCUGAAGGACCUGAAACACCAGAUAAUGAGGGAUAUAGCCAGCGCCGUGGCUGGGCAACAAGAUGGGAAUACACGGGCGACGACGGUGGAGCAGGAAUGGCACAAAGGCACAAGGCAAUGCCCCAUGGGGAGCAUCCCCAUCCUAAGGACGAACCCCUCCGUUAAUUACCUCACAGGAAGUCUUUUCCCAUCGCCGCUACGUGCAGCUAAUAUUAGCACUUGGAGUGGCGCUGCCAAUGCGGCCGGCCCCAGAUACGAGUUCGCCGUAGCGAUUGCUGCCAACGGGCCGUACAGCGGAGCGUAUGUACAGCUGCCGGUGUGGAAGCCGGCGCGCGUCCACGGCUCGGAGUACACCGCGACCUACCUCCUCCUGGCCGGCACCAAGGACACCGAAUUCGACCCUACACCCGGCGUAUUACCGCCCGAUGUCACCAAUCAGAUAGCAGCUGGCCUCUUUGCUUAUCCAGAAAAAGACACCAAUCCUCGGUUAAACAUAUUCUAUACGGCCGAUGGCGGUAAGACUCUGUGCUACAACUUGAACUGCGGAGGGUUCGUUCAAACAAGCAGGGCCAUCGCCCUGGGCGCUAGCAUCGUCAAUGGUGCAUCCGGUGUAGAUGAUCCCGUACCAUACUUACUAGUUAGUAUAGAAAAGAGCGCUGCUGGGCCUUGGCAUGUGCUGGUGAACGACACGGACCUCGGCUACUACCCUCGGGCCAUUUUCCCGUGGUGGAUGUUCCCUGAGUCUGUUGCCAACCUGAUGGGUGGCACGGUGCUCAACACAUGGCCGGGCGGCAAGCACACCGACACCGUUGUGGGCAACGGACGACGGCCACCCAGGGACUCCAAACCUGCUAUCGUCAAGGGUUACGUAGCUGUUGACCUCGAUGGACACCCCUUCCCCGACACUCUGGAAGUCAUUGUCCACACUGCGCCCAACUGCUACGACGUGAAGUUCUUCGACCAAAGCAAUGGCAGCGUGGGUGCCAGCGUUGCAUUCGGCGGAUCAGGUGGACCGGACUGUGCUCCGCGGCCCGCCUAG
Molecule: ribosomal RNA, 1224 nt
Filed under: Triticum aestivum (bread wheat)
Lineage: Eukaryota; Viridiplantae; Streptophyta; Magnoliopsida; Poales; Poaceae
Description: partial small subunit ribosomal RNA
Source: RNAcentral